Molecule: transfer RNA, 73 nt
Filed under: Rattus norvegicus (Norway rat)
Lineage: Eukaryota; Metazoa; Chordata; Mammalia; Rodentia; Muridae
Rfam family: tRNA
About the family: Transfer RNA (tRNA) molecules are approximately 80 nucleotides in length. Their secondary structure includes four short double-helical elements and three loops (D, anti-codon, and T loops). Further hydrogen bonds mediate the characteristic L-shaped molecular structure. tRNAs have two regions of fundamental functional importance: the anti-codon, which is responsible for specific mRNA codon recognition, and the 3' end, to which the tRNAs corresponding amino acid is attached (by aminoacyl-tRNA synthetases). tRNAs cope with the degeneracy of the genetic code in two manners: having more than one tRNA (with a specific anti-codon) for a particular amino acid; and 'wobble' base-pairing, i.e. permitting non-standard base-pairing at the 3rd anti-codon position.
Source: Rfam by way of RNAcentral
GGGAAUGUAGCUCAGUUGAUAGAGUGCUUACCUAGCAUGCAUGAGGUUCCGGGUUCGAUUCCCAGCAUUACAU